This 5027-nucleotide long non-coding RNA is filed under the name Sorghum bicolor (sorghum). RNAcentral's name for it is "long non-coding RNA (SBIC_LNC006217)". Lineage: Eukaryota; Viridiplantae; Streptophyta; Magnoliopsida; Poales; Poaceae. The record is from RNAcentral.
UUGGGUAUUUUAAACGCAAACAGAAAAAUCCGCAAGCGCACGGAUACCGAUGUAGCCUUCACCCGGGAGUAUUCCAGAGUAUCGAUUUUCCACAGAGAACGUGAGUGUACUAAUUAAGAUCCAAGAUCGCCCAAGGAUAACUAUAUGAAUAUUUUUGGUGGGAAGAGAGGAAGUUUCCUGAGAGUUCUCUAGUUGAUCUAAGAAUCAAGAAUUACUUCAAGAUUAUCUAUAUCGGGACAUCAGAGCACUAACCACAGAAAGAGAUGAGAAGGGGGCUAGGAAGGUCUGACUACGGUCCUACAAACACCGAUCCGAACGAGGUAGAAUACGUCGACCAUUAGGGCUGUCACUACCCUAAGGCUACCACAACAAUCCGCAGGAUUGGGUGCAAUUCCAGGUAAUUGCAAGACUAAACACCACGUCUAAUCUAUUAAUUACUACUCUAGCGUUAUAAAGACUAGAGCACUUGAUGCAAGCGGGAAUCCAAUAAAUAACUUGAAUGUAAAUAAAAGUAAUUAAAGAACUCAGGAAUUAUGAAUUGAAGAACCUGGAGAACGAUGAAGAACGAACCAGUUGUUGCAAAAGUACAAUGUUGAGGAAGAUCCGACAGAUCCGGCUCCUCCUCUGCUCUCCUCUUCUCUCUCCCUAUUUUCUAGAUUACAACUAUAACUAACUAGAACUAGAACUAGAGGAACUAGAACUAGAACUAGAUGAACUAGAACUAGAACUAGAUGAACUAGAGGUAGAACUAGAAGAACUAGAGGGAUCCUCUCUACUUGGAUGAAGAAUUGAAACCCUGACUUUGAUUCUGUAGAAGAGGUAUGAUCUCCAGGGGCCAGGAGGUCUGGUUUUAUAGUCCCUUCAAGUGAAUCUGGGCCAUCGGAUCAAACCGACAUUAAUCGCACGGUUUUCCUUGAUCCUUUAGGUCGGUGGAGCAUAAUCCGCGAAACGUGUCCUGAUUGGGCACUGUAGCUGGGCGAGCGCCCAGAAGAGUUGGGCGGGCGCCCUGCCUCCGAGCCCGAUUGCCUUCCCGUUCGGUCCCGUGGCUUCUGGAGUCUUCUAGAUGAUAGAAAAUUGUACGGCACGUUAAUAUCUCUAUGUAAACCCGACGUGUGGGCCUUUCUUCCGUAUUUCCUGAUAACCCCCUGCAGAAAUAGACAAACACCAAAACUCGUGGAAUUCUGUCAGAUAAAACCCUAAGUCUAGGUGUUGCUUGCAUUUGGAUCCUUUUCCAUGAUUAAUUGAUGGUUAAAUGUGAGCAUUAAGGACCGUCAACAAGCUCCCCCAAGCUUAACCUUUGCUCGUCCCUGAGCAAAGCUAAAAUCAUCAAGAAAACAGGGGUUACUUUUAUGCCUUUUACUAAAGGGGUUUUAAGUUAUCACUAAGGUCUUAAGUGAUUGAAAAACAGAAUGAUCAAGUCAAGCACUAUGUCUCAAGUUCUUCUGUCUUACCUUUGUUCUGGAGUUGUUUGUAAGUUUCCAAAAUAAAUCUGAGGCAUUUGCCCUCUUCUCGAAAGAUAUAUAAGUAGAGCUUUAAAAAUUUUAGCAUACUUACUUUGCAUUUUGCUAUGUCAAUGCUCGGAGCAAGGGAGAGGAAUGUCAUACUCCUAGAUCAAGACCUUUGACCUUUUUGAAGAGUUUGUCAUCUCUUACUGGCAUAUUGCUUAUUAGAGGGACCAUGGGCUAUCAAUUUUUUUCCUUUUUUUUUCUCUUUUUUUUAGUCUCUUUUUUUUCAAGUGGGCAGCAAGUACCCCUAAUUCUACUGUCGGACACAUGUCCAUUUUUUUCACUCAGGUGGGUAUCUUUGUACCCCUAAUUCUACUUCGGACACUUGUCCAUUUUUACCUCUCAUCUCACUCUUUUUUUUUCGAAUCAAAUUUUUGCAUAGUCCCAUGCCUCUAACGCAAUAAUACUUCGGAAGAGUGAAUCUUUUAUAUUUUUAAAACAAAAAGAUCUUGAUCUUGGGAGCAUGAUAAUUCUCUCAACCAAAACUACAAGAAUUAACAAUGGCUUGAACAAAGAAAGUACCCACAGUUUUAAUAUUUAUUUCUUAUAAGACUCUAGGUAUUAUGAUCUCAUUUUUUUUUAUGAAUUUUUAGAUUUUCAAAAGAUAAAAUCUCCAGAACUCUAGCAAAACUUGGAACAAGUUAAAUAGUAGCUCAGACCUUCUCAUAUCAUGUUUGUCAAUUACCUAGACUUGAAUCAAACUUUCUUUUUAUUUUAUUUAAAACUUAGUAUUACAUAAAACUAUUAUAUAUUACUCAAAACAAAAACUGUGUUUGGUUUCAUGGUUAUGCAUUUUUUUCAUUUCUGAAUACUAGUAAAUAAAACUAAGAAAGAAAAAUAAUACUUAUCUUGAUUUAUUUUUUUUUAUUUAGCAAACUAAGCAAAGAUAUAUAUAUAAGCACAAAAUCUUUAUUUGGGUUUCUAUGAUUAUGCAUCAUUUUAUUAUUAGAGUAGUAUAAACGUGAGUAGAAUACUUAGCUGGAUAAAUGGGGGUGCUCUCCCCCAAGCUGGAUUUUGACGUAUUUUCUUCUGUUGUAGCUAGCACAUGGCGGAGGUGAAUUUGAAUGUCUGCAGCACUCUGACAGCGAGUAGGAUGUCCUCCGUCUGCUAGUCUUCUUUGAUCCUUGAAUUCUGUGGAACUCAAAUAGACAACAAAGCUUUGUGGAACUAGUUAAGUGUUAGCAUAAAUAUCUAACCUUUAUCAUGUUGAGCCUCCUCAAUAAAUAUUACUUUCUUUGGUAGGAUCAUAAAUUUAUUUUUAUAUUUUUAUUUUUAUAGGAUAGGAAUAUAUUUAUUUUAUUUUUACGCCACCACUGUGAAUGUACUUAUGGGUUUUAUGCCAUGAGCAUACUCACAUGGGGCUUACUAUUUUUAACAUUUUUAUUUUCUUUUCAAGAUGAUGUGAACCUGAUUAACUAAGCAAACUAUUUUAAAUAAUUGAAAGGAGAAAGAUAACUACCAAGUUUACCUCUUGGCAAGGCGUUCGGUGUUUUUAAGUCCUCCGAACGGGACUCUCCGUUUCCUCAGUCGUCCUGGGAUUUGCUGGAUGGCGUAGUUGGUGGUUCCGGUGGAGCCUGCUCUUCAUGUAUAACUAUCUUUUUUCUCCACACCUGACUCGAUGCUACGGUCUCCUCAGGACAGUUCUGUUCAAGUUAUAUGACUUCAGACCUUACAACUUCUCCAUCAUAGUCUACCCAUCCGUCCUUGAUGAUUUUGCCUUCUCUGGUUGCGGUUGCGUCUUCUUCUUCUUGUCUUGACCUGCUUAGAGUCUUCAACUAUAUAAUUAAGGUCAGUAAAAUAGCGGCGUACCUUGUUAGAGGGGAAGUGCAUGUGGACUUCUCUGGUUCCAAUCUAGAUGAUUGCUUUAACAGUACUGAGGAAUGGUCUUCCAAGGAUGAUGGGUGGAUCGUACUCGUCUUCUCCCAUGUCAAUAACCUUCAAUCUUUCAGAAUAUCUGAUCUACCAUCUGAAGCUGAAUGUAUGUCGGUUUUAGGGGCAUGGUUCCGAAUAGGAGCUGAUAGGUGACUGGCGGCCAUUAUGUCGACGCCUGACCCGGUGUCGCAAAGCAUCUUCUGGAAGUUGUAUCCAUCAAUGGAGCACUGGAUGCUUGGCAUACUUGGGUCGUCCUUUUUGGUUAGGAACGGUGACUUAAGUUGACGAUCUUGACCUCCUUGAGCUGCAGUGACCAUCUUAGCUGACGCGGUACACAUUUGCUUGUUCUUGUUCCUCCUGUUGGUCCUCUUCCUUGGUUCAUGUCGGGAUUGCUCUGGGAUUUGUGUAGUCUUGUUUCUUGAAGGAAAACGUCUCCUUCAUCCCCUUGAUGUAGAAACUGAUCUUGGCAGCACUAGCGUAGAUGACAGCUCCCGAAGUGUUUAGGAAUGGCCUCCCAACUCGGACGCAGAGGUUCUUCAAUAUUCCCUGGGCAUAAUGUUGACGCUGGAGCCAAAGUCGUAGAGUGCUUCUAGGAAGUCCACCAUGUCGAUGGAGAUCGGGAUGACGGAGCGUCCUGGAUUGUCUCUCUUGACCGGCAGAAGGUCAGUAAUUACUUCCACAGCGGGGUUACUCCAGUAGUUACGUCCUCAAGCAUCUCAGGGCAGUGAUUGCCUGAGUGUCUAGUCUCUCCAGUGUGUUUGUGCUCGUAGAUCUAGGUUCUUCACUUGGUGGAGUCUAGGAGUUGUAAAAGUCCUUCAUAUUUUGCUCAAAGUGUACCUGCUCAUAGAGACAAGGCAGAGAUCAAGUGCAUGGGCCCUGUUGGUGAAAAACACCAACAGAACCAAAAGUGUAUUUAUUCUUCUCUAUCCUUAAGCAUAGUGAGCAAAACAAAGUUGAUGGAUAAUAAGAUCAUGAGUGUAGCAUUUAAAACAUUCGUCAGAUCAGAUUACUCAACCUAAUGGAAAGAUAAUCUAUCUAUACUUAUCUUUUUUUAUAUAUCUUCCAAAGAUUGCAUGUGCAACAUUUUAGCUCAUAUUAGGAGUAUGGGAUCACAAAGGUGGAAGGACUAAACAUGUUGAAUCGAUUGGGUUGGUUAAUCUAGAGUUGUAAAUCAUACAUGUUUGUCUCUUUUCUUCAUGUGAAUGCCAGAACCAAGGAGAAGCUUAUAGAAGUGAUAGUCAAGUACCUUAAAAUGUUACCUUACUUGAAGAAUGGUGGUACAGUAUCACCUUGUGGAAGCUUUCCUCUCUUAGCGGUUGUGCAUCGUGUUUGUGGCACCUCCAUGGAUCAUCUCUUGUGAGCUAUGCCUUCCUUGUGUAAAUUAUUAAACUUCAUGUGUGUCUCUCUUUGUCUCCAAUGUGAGUUUAUCUCAGGACUUCCCAGGUCGAUAUUGAAAGUUUUCCUGCAGGGGUUAGUCCAACAAAAUAUACCAAUGUCUACACAAGCAGUUUUUAGUUCAAUAACCAAACUAGACUCCAUGUCUAAUUAGAUUAAGGAAGGCUGUUUAACCUAAGCACCAUGCUUAAUUUAAAAACCAAUAGAAGUAUGUACAGUACUUCCAAACUAACACUUACUAGGAUAAACAAAGGU